CCCUGCCCCUUCACUUUGCCAGUUGGACUUGUGUCCUGAUUGGUCAUUCAAGUGGGGCAAAGGAAUCUCCUUUUCAAACUCAAGCAGACUGGGUGUUUGCCUUGUAUCCUGUCAGAGGAAACAGAU
Small nucleolar RNA from Suricata suricatta (meerkat), 126 nucleotides. Ensembl annotates it as small nucleolar RNA, H/ACA box 27. Lineage: Eukaryota; Metazoa; Chordata; Mammalia; Carnivora; Herpestidae. The record is from Ensembl.